AAGACCUAAUCAGCGAUGGUGGACUGUCGAGUCUUGGCCGACCUCCGUGUCCACCCUUGCGGUUGUCCCGGCGGCCAAGCAGCAGAUUUGGAAACGCCGAGCAGCGGGCUUCUCUCCUGACCUCGCCGCCAAAUCUGGAAGUGAGGCACCGGUUGGAGGCAACGGCUGAGCUGGCGAGAUGCGGCGCCGUCAACUCCGACUCCGCCGGUGGCGAUGGCAGGAGGAGGAGGCCCGGAGGCAGGACUCGUGGCUGCAGAUGGAAGGAGAGGAAAAGAGAAGAAAUCCGCGUGGAUUUGGGGACUUUAAUUCAUUUCUCUGAUAUUCCACGUGUCAGUUUUUAUUUAAAGAAUAAAUGAGCGCAUUGUAUAAUACAAGUGAUGGUUGAAUUUCUUUGUAGUAUUAAUGUGGCCUGUUCAUUAUAAACCUAAUUUCUUUUCACUGCAGGAUUUUCCUGUCUUUCAUAUUUUAUCCUUAUCGUCUUGUCUGACGCUCUGAAAGGGAGAAGAAAGCCCUGACUUUUUCUUUUUUUUUAUCACUUCUAGGUAGUGAAAUCCGGUCGAGGUCGCUCCCAUUGGUUGAUCCUGCAUGAUUAGUUCCGCUCCGAUUCAAAAUUCUGUGGUUCGGGUGCAGAUCGGUUCUUUCUUGUUUCCAGCCUUUGAGUUCUGUAAUGGCCGGUGAAGUCUCAGUGACCCUUACUUACAGCAGAAGUAAUGGGUCUCCAUCUGAUCCCAAGGACCCUCUGACUACUUGUUGCCGCAACUUGAGUGUAUUGGCAAGGAUGGAAAACUUCCCUGGAAUCUGCCCUCUGAUCUCAAAUAUUUUAAGAGCUGAUCCUAGGAAAGAGAAUGCAGUCAUAACGGGUAGAAAAGCAUGGGGAAGUAUUCCUGCUGAGCAUAGGCCUCUACAUGUUGUUCUCACUCAUCGUAAGAAUUUUAAUAUUGGGACUGCAGAGAAUGUCGUCAAAUAUGGAAUCAUGUGUAUUGCCUUGUAUUUAUUGCCUUUGUUGUUAUCUAUUGAGAAAGUUUCUGUCAUUGGCGGUGGCCAGAGGUUUCUGAACAUUUGUUCAUAACUACAAUUGCCUUUGGGUUUUUCUCUUUGCACCUUAGUAACUUUUCUCGUUUGGUGCAAGGAAGCUCAAUGCUCCUGGAUGUGAUGCUAUCCACAUAACAGAAGUUGAGACACCAGUUGAAUUUGACACUUUUUUGCCCAUGGUCGAUACAUCUGUCUUUCGAUCAUGGUACUUGUCCUUUCCCAUCGUUGUACACAACAUCCAGUAACUACUUAUGUCCGUGUAGGAUGUUCUGUAGUGGUUUUCUGCCUCACAAAAAUUGUAUGAUCUUCAAUGGUAAGGCAGGUUCUGUUAAAUUUGAGGUGGAGAAUUUUACCUUUCUGCUCUAGAUGAUUUUUUUAGAGACAUGAACAGUACCUGUAUUAGAGAUUAGUCGAAGAGGUACUGUUAGAUGGCACUCCAAAGGAUGACAGGACUGAAACUGGUACUGCAUCAAAAUUUCGAUGCCAGAUGCGGUUCAAUCUGCACAGAACGAGAAAAUAUUGGGUGCACCGGGCGGUCCACGUCACCGUGCGCCCGCCCAAUCAGGAUUCGACAUGUGUCGCCACGUGGCUCCACCUGAGCCGAGGCCCACCUUUAGUUUUCAGUUAAAUUUUUGCUGCUUCUCUCUCUCAUUUAAUGCUUCGUCCUUUUCUCUGCACGAUUUCUCCCGUUUGCACGCAAGCGUGCGUCCCUUCCCCUCCCAUUCUCUUUCAAAAAAUUUUGUCCCUGCAUUUUUUCUCCAUGAAAGCUGCAACGCCAUCUCUCUCAACCAAACGCUCGCCGGUUGCCUCCAAGCUUGGCUGCCUCUACCGUCGCCGUCAAGAGCCACUCGCUCCCAAGAACCCCGCCGGUCGUGGUUGAGUCCCAACAAUCUCCGCCUCGGCCUCUUCAGCGAGCGUGGACACCCAAAAAGCCUGCUGCUUGCCUCCAAGCUCGAUCGCCUCCGCUGUCACCACCAGGAGCUACUCGCUCCGAAGAGCCCUGCCGGUCGUGGCUGCGUCCCAAGCUCUGACCUUCUCCGCCUGUGCCUCCUCAGUGAUCGCAAACACCCAAAAGCUCACCAGGCGCGUCUGAGCUCAGCCGCCUCUGCCAUUGCCACUUUCUCCCAAGAGCACCUUCUUAUGAAUCUUACCUGCUGAUGUGUGGGAACUCAAGUUACUUUAACAGUUGGUCGUCCAAAUUUAUUUUGGUGGACUCCAGAAUUUACUCUUAAAGCCUUAUCCUCCCGAUCAAGAAUCUGCAAAUGAAAAUCCUAUCCAAAUUACGAUGCAUCACUGUAGAUGUCACUGGCACGCUCAUGGCCUACAAAGGGGAGCUUGGAGACUAGUACUGCAUGGCUGCCAAAUCAGUCGGUCUUCCAUGUCCCGACUAUAAGUGCAUCCAUGAGGGCUUUAAACUUGCAUAUACAGAAAUGGCAAAAAAAUAUCCAUGCUUCGGAUAUGCUGCCAAAAUGCCAAACAUUGUAUGGUGGAAAACUUGCGUGAGAAAUUCAUUUGUCCAGGCAGGUUAUGAGUAUGAUGAAGAGACAUUUGAGGAGAUAUUUAGACGCAUAUAUGCAUCUUUCGGUUCAGCUGCACCUUACACCGUCUUUCCAGACUCCCAACCAUUCUAGAGAUGGGUUAUAGGGAUUUGUCCUAUAAUCGGUUAACAGGGAAAAUUCCAUUCAACAUUGGUUUCCUGCAAGUGGUCACCUUGUCAUUGCAAGGUAAUCAGCUGUCAGAGAAAAUUCCAUCUGUGAUUGGUCUCAUGCAGGCCCUUGCAAUCUUAGAUCUGAGCUGUAACAUGUUAACUGGACCCAUCCCUCCUAUUUUGGGAAAUUUCACCUACACAGAAAAGUUGUACUUGCAUGGCAUGGCAACAAACUGACCUGACAAAUCCCUCCGGAGCUUGGAAAUAUGUCAAAGCUUCAUUAUCUGUAUGCUUAGUUUCUCAUAUAUUGGAUUGUUUUGAAGCUAUGCAUGUGAUUUCAUCUGCAUGGGGAGUCCAUUUCUGCAACUUUUUUACUGAUUGAGGAUCUUUAUAACUAUUUCAUUCUCCUGUUCUAUGUAAUUUUUCCAAGUCCGCUCUCAUGAUAAUUCUGGCAUCCUUCAUAAGCUUUAAUAAACAUUAAUUAGAAUACGUUCUGCAUGUUUCAGGCCACUUUGAACAUCUUCUCACCCCUAGCCUGACUAUUCUGUAAGUUUAUUGUUGUCCCAUUGUUGUCCCCAAUGCUGCAUAGAUUAUAAUGGUACUAUAUUUUCUUUGGAAAAUGUCAGCCUCUGGGAUCUUCUCCAUGGUGAGUGAAGUUUCUUUUUAAUGACUUGGAUGUCCUGCUCAAGAGCCUCUUAGGUGAAUAUGCGUGUCAAAACUUUUUCCCAUCAUACGUGAGAACUAGAUUGAGCGAGCGUGAAAGAGUGAAAAUCUGAAGUGGCUUUAAAAUCUGGAGUGGCUUUUAUAGUACUCAUUUCACUCCUGCUAAAUUUUCUUCUGUUCAUGUAUAUUGAAAUCAUCUAAAAUAAACUGGUCCUAGUUUUUAAUUAUGUCAGGAUUCUUCCGACCAAAGAUCUUUACAAAUUAAUGAUUUCUGUAGGCCCUGCGAACAAAAAGAAGCUUGACUGGGAUACUCGUCUCAAGAUAGCACUUGGUGCCGCUGAGGGGCUUUCAUAUCUUCGCCAUGAUUGUAGUCCGUGUAUCAUCCACGGGGACGUGAAAUCGUCAAACAUUCUACUCGAUAAGGAAUUUGAGGCGCAUCUGACUGAUUUUGGGAUUGCAAAGAGCCUGUGCACAACGAAGUCCCAUACUUCUACAUACAUAAUGGGGACCAUUGGCUACAUAGACCCAGAAUAUGCCCGCACUUUUCGCCUCACAGAGAAGUCAGAUGUCUAUAGCUGUGGAAUUGUUUUACUAGAGUUGCUGACUAGCAGGAAAGCAGUGGACAAUGAAUCCAAUCUCAAUGCAAAAUUAAAGCAAGAUUUGGCAAAAUAGAAGAAAGAAAAUUCUAGAUUGAAAAUGUUGGUUGUGCUGUUGUUUAUAGUAAUUUUAGCUUUAAAACUUGACAUAUUGUGAGAUUUGGCAAACCUAAAGAUGUUGGUUGGGUUGUUCGUGAGUUUUAGUUGUUGUUUGUAAAUAUAUGUGCAUUUUGUUUGUAGGAUGAAUAAAGUGAACAUUUAUGUUGGCAUAUCAUUAAAUUUGUUUUAC
This is a long non-coding RNA of Eucalyptus grandis, 4228 nucleotides long. RefSeq lists it as uncharacterized. The record is from RefSeq and is a predicted model, not a curated record. NCBI's taxonomy places the organism in Eukaryota, Viridiplantae, Streptophyta, Magnoliopsida, Myrtales, Myrtaceae. The transcript has 9 exons.